This 896-nucleotide ribosomal RNA is filed under the name uncultured bacterium. RNAcentral describes it as "bacterial SSU rRNA". It matches the Rfam family "Bacterial small subunit ribosomal RNA", at positions 11 to 915 of the family's 1533-position model. The record is from RNAcentral.
GUUUGAUCCUGGCUCAGGAUGAACGCUAGCGGCAGGCUUAACACAUGCAAGUCGAGGGGUAUAGUAGCAAUACUAGAGACCGGCGCACGGGUGCGUAACGCGUAUGCAAUCUACCUUUUGCAGGGGAAUAGCCCAGAGAAAUUUGGAUUAAUGCCCCAUAGUAUAAUGUCUUGGCAUCGAGAUAUUAUUAAAGUCACAACGGCAAAAGAUGAGCAUGCGUCCCAUUAGCUAGUUGGUAAGGUAACGGCUUACCAAGGCGACGAUGGGUAGGGGUCCUGAGAGGGAGAUCCCCCACACUGGUACUGAGACACGGACCAGACUCCUACGGGAGGCAGCAGUGAGGAAUAUUGGACAAUGGGCGCAAGCCUGAUCCAGCCAUGCCGCGUGCAGGAUGAAGCAUCUAUGGUGUGUAAACUGCUUUUGUACGAGAAGAAACACUGCUUCGUGAAGCAGCUUGACGGUAUCGUAAGAAUAAGGAUCGGCUAACUCCGUGCCAGCAGCCGCGGUAAUACGGAGGAUCCAAGCGUUAUCCGGAAUCAUUGGGUUUAAAGGGUCCGUAGGCGGGCCAGUAAGUCAGUGGUGAAAUCUCCCGGCUCAACCGGGAAAUGGCCAUUGAUACUGCUGGUCUUGAAUUAUUAGGAAGUAACUAGAAUAUGUAGUGUAGCGGUGAAAUGCUUAGAGAUUACAUGGAAUACCAAUUGCGAAGGCAGGUUACUACUAAUGGAUUGACGCUGAUGGACGAAAGCGUGGGUAGCGAACAGGAUUAGAUACCCUGGUAGUCCACGCCGUAAACGAUGGAUACUAGCUGUUGGGGGCAACUUCAGUGGCUAAGCGAAAGUGAUAAGUAUCCCACCUGGGGAGUACGUUCGCAAGAAUGAAACUCAAAGGAAUUGACG